AUUAUCUUUAAAAUAAAUUUACUGUAAGAGAAGUACUUGAGUUUAGUUCGUAAAUAUUUGGCUCGAUUGCAGUACAUUUAUUCAGUUGAAGGCAGAUAUUCACUGCACAACCACUUCGAAAUCAAACAUUGAAGGCUACAAACAGAAAUGCCGCUGGACAAAGACAAUCCAUCUCAUCGUGAUUCCUCUGACAAGUUCGAUGCCAAGUUUAGUGGAAACGCUGCGUACGAUAAAGUUGUUCGUCCCAUCGUACAUGGCGCAUACCAUGCAGGUCGUUAUGCUACCGGUGGAAAUCCCGAGGAAAAGGCUCGUGCCAAGGAUCAAUUCAGUAAAGUUGGGACUGGACAGACCCAAACCGAAUAUUUAAAGGCUCAUCGCGAGCAAAAUAAGAAAUAAAUUGUCCGAACAAAGUGUGCCCAAGUGU
Molecule: long non-coding RNA, 424 nt
Organism: Bradysia coprophila
Lineage: Eukaryota; Metazoa; Arthropoda; Insecta; Diptera; Sciaridae
Source: RefSeq, a predicted model, not a curated record